Molecule: ribosomal RNA, 468 nt
Filed under: uncultured bacterium
Lineage: Bacteria
Description: partial 16S ribosomal RNA
Rfam family: Bacterial small subunit ribosomal RNA
Source: RNAcentral
GACGAACGCUGGCGGCGUGCUUAACACAUGCAAGUCGAACGGAAAGGCCCUGCUUUUGUGGGGUGCUCGAGUGGCGAACGGGUGAGUAACACGUGAGUAACCUGCCCUUGACUUUGGGAUAACUUCAGGAAACUGGGGCUAAUACCGGAUAGGAGCUCCUGCUGCAUGGUGGGGGCUGGAAAGUUUCGGCGGUUGGGGAUGGACUCGCGGCUUAUCAGCUUGUUGGUGGGGUAGUGGCUUACCAAGGCUUGGACGGGUAGCCGGGCUGAGAGGGUGACCGGACAAGUUGGGACUGGGAUGCGGCCCAGACUCGUACGGGAGGCGAGGGUGGAGAGGGGUGCACAAGGGGCGGGGGGCUGGUGCAGCAACGCCGCGUGCGGGAUGACGGCCAUGGGGUAGGAAAGCGCUGUCGCCUGUGACGAAGCGUGAGUGACGGUAAUGGGUGAAGAAGCACCGGCUAACUACGUG